AGAGUUUGAUCCUGGCUCAGGACGAACGCUGGCGGCGUGCUUAACACAUGCAAGUCGAGCGAUGAAGCACCUUCGGGUGUGAAUUAGCGGCGAACGGGUGAGGAACACGUGAGAAAUCUGCCUUCAACACUGGGAUAACUCCGGGAAACCGGGGCUAAUACCGGAUAUGAAACCUGCGGGCAUCCGCGGGUUUGGAAAGUUUUUCGGUUGAAGAUGAUCUCGCGGCCUAUCAGCUUGUUGGUGAGGUAAUGGCUCACCAAGGCGACGACGGGUAGCCGGCCUGAGAGGGCGACCGGCCACACUGGGACUGAGACACGGCCCAGACUCCUACGGGAGGCAGCAGUGGGGAAUAUUGGGCAAUGGAGGAAACUCUGACCCAGCGACGCCGCGUGCGGGAUGAAGGCCUUCGGGUUGUAAACCGCUUUCAGCAGGGAAGAAGCGAAAGUGACGGUACCUGCAGAAGAAGCACCGGCUAACUAUGUGCCAGCAGCCGCGGUAAUGCAUAGGGUGCAAGCGUUGUCCGGAAUUAUUGGGCGUAAAGAGCUCGUAGGUGGUUCGUCACGUCGGAUGUGAAACUCUGGGGCUUAACCCCAGACCUGCAUUCGAUACGGGCGAGCUUGAGUAUGGUAGGGGAGUCUGGAAUUCCUGGUGUAGCGGUGGAAUGCGCAGAUAUCAGGAGGAACACCAAUGGCGAAGGCAGGACUCUGGGCCAUUACUGACACUGAGGAGCGAAAGCGUGGGGAGCGAACAGGAUUAGAUACCCUGGUAGUCCACGCCGUAAACGGUGGGCACUAGUUGUGGGGACCUUCCACGGUCUCUGCGACGCAGCUAACGCAUUAAGUGCCCCGCCUGGGGAGUACGAUCGCAAGAUUAAAACUCAAAGGAAUUGACGG
Molecule: ribosomal RNA, 893 nt
Filed under: uncultured Actinomycetes bacterium
Lineage: Bacteria; Bacillati; Actinomycetota; Actinomycetes
Description: bacterial SSU rRNA
Rfam family: Bacterial small subunit ribosomal RNA
Source: RNAcentral